GACGAACGCUGGCGGCGUGCCUAAUACAUGCAAGUCGAGCGCAGGAAACUGACGGAACUCUUCGGAGGGAAGGCAGUGGAAUGAGCGGCGGACGGGUGAGUAACACGUAAGGAACCUGCCUCAAGGAUUGGGAUAACUCCGAGAAAUCGGAGCUAAUACCGGAUAGUUCAUCGGACCGCAUGGUCCGUUGAUGAAAGGCGCUCCGGCGUCACCUUGAGAUGGCCUUGCGGUGCGUUAGCUAGUUGGUGGGGUAACGGCCCACCAAGGCGACGAUGCAUAGCCGACCUGAGAGGGUGAUCGGCCACACUGGGACUGAGACACGGCCCAGACUCCUACGGGAGGCAGCAGUAGGGAAUCUUCCACAAUGGACGAAAGUCUGAUGGAGCAACGCCGCGUGAGUGAUGAAGGUUUUCGGAUCGUAAAACUCUGUUGUAAGGGAAGAACACGUACGAGAGGAAAUGCUCGUACCUUGACGGUACCUUACGAGAAAGCCACGGCUAACUACGUGCCAGCCGCCGCGGUAA
RNAcentral lists this ribosomal RNA (524 nucleotides) under uncultured bacterium. RNAcentral describes it as "partial 16S ribosomal RNA". It matches the Rfam family "Bacterial small subunit ribosomal RNA", at positions 28 to 523 of the family's 1533-position model. The record is from RNAcentral.